Molecule: long non-coding RNA, 517 nt
Filed under: Struthio camelus australis
Lineage: Eukaryota; Metazoa; Chordata; Aves; Struthioniformes; Struthionidae
Description: lncRNA (ENSSCUG00000002694.1)
Source: RNAcentral
GUGUCAUGUGGUUGUCUUUUCCUUUAAACCAGAACAGGCCGUAUCUUGGAUUUCUAUUCCUUCUUUGUGAAAUAUUUGCACACAAAAUAUUAUGUAUAUCUGUAGGAAGCUAUAAAUAAGGAACACUGUUGGUCACACUGCUUCCAAUAAGCAAAUAAACCAAACCAUAACUAAGAUGAGACUACUUCAUAACCCCCACAGAGGACGUGAAGGAAAGUUCAAUGUCUGUGAAGGUUUGUUCUCCCUCGUGGUCCCAGUAUUUUUGAGCUACAACAGAAUUAUUUCUGGAGUGAGUUUUCAGAAGGAAGCAGUGGCAUGUGCCUGGGCCAGGCAGCCUGUUGCUGUUGAACAGCAAUCUUUCGUGCCAGUGGUGCCGAAACUCUGCUUUGAGGUUCGUGCCCUGAACUGCCUUUUCUCUCCCGGAGUUAAACAAAAGUCAGAGCUGAAUUUAGCCUGUGCUGGUGACGUCGCUGAAGGACACCUGUGCAUAGGACACCCAGUGCUCUGUGGAUGGUGA